UACAGAGGGUGCGAGCGUUAAUCGGAAUUACUGGGCGUAAAGCGUGCGUAGACGGUCAUGUAAGUCGGGUGUGAAAGCCCCGGGCUCAACCUGGGAAUUGCAUUCGAGACUGCAUGGCUAGGGUGCGGAAGAGGGAAGCGGAAUUUCCGGUGUAGCGGCGAAAUGCGUAGAUAUCGGAAGGAACACCAGUGGCGAAAGCGGCUUCCUGGUCCGACACCGACGUUCAGGCACGAAAGCGUGGGGAGCAAACAGG
Molecule: ribosomal RNA, 253 nt
Filed under: uncultured bacterium
Lineage: Bacteria
Description: partial 16S ribosomal RNA
Rfam family: Bacterial small subunit ribosomal RNA
Source: RNAcentral